GAUGAAGAACGUAGCGAAAUGCGAUACUUGGUGUGAAUUGCAGAAUCCCGUGAACCAUCGAGUCUUUGAACGCAAGUUGCGCCUCAAGCCAUUAGGUUGAGGGCACGUCUGCCUGGGCGUCACAUAUCGUUGUCUGAUGCCAGUUUCCUCGUGAUGGGUGACUGUGCAGGGCGAAUGAUGGCUUCCCGUGAGCAUUGUUGCCUCAUGGUUGGUUGAAAAUUGAGUCCUUGGUAGGGAGCGCCGUGAUAGAUGGUGGUUGAGUGACGAACGAGACCCAAUCAUGUGAGACCCCUACCGAAUUUGGCCUUCAUGACCCACAUGCGUCUUUGGAACGCUCAUGACGAGACCUCAGGUCAGGCGGGGCUACCCGCUGAGUUUAAGCAUAUCAAUAAGCGGAGGA
This 400-nucleotide unclassified non-coding RNA is filed under the name soil metagenome. RNAcentral's name for it is "partial contains 5.8S ribosomal RNA, internal transcribed spacer 2, and large subunit ribosomal RNA". The stretch from base 1 to 122 matches the Rfam family "5.8S ribosomal RNA", at positions 35 to 154 of the family's 154-position model. The record is from RNAcentral.